CUACGGGGUGCUCCAGUGAGGAAUAUUGGUCAAUGGGCGCAAGCCUGAACCAGCCACUCCGCGUGUAGGAUGACUGCCCUAUGGGUUGUAAACUACUUUUAUACAGGAAGAAACCUCCAUACGUGUAUGGAGCUGACUGUACUGUAAGAAUAAGCAUCGGCUAACUCCGUGCCAGCAGCCGCGGUAAUACGGAGGAUGCAAGCGUUAUCCGGAUUUAUUAGGUCUAAAGGGUGCGUAGGCGGAUAUUUAAGUCAGUGGUGAAAUCCUACAGCUUAACUGUAGAACUGCCAUUGAUACUGGAUGUCUUGAGUUUAGUUGAGGUAGGCGGAAUGUGUAGUGUAGCGGUGAAAUGCUUAGAUAUUACACAGAACACCGAUUGCGAAGGCAGCUUACUAAGCUAACACUGACGCUGAGGCACGAAAGCGUGGGGAGCGAACAGGAUUAGAUACCCUGGAGUC
Molecule: ribosomal RNA, 458 nt
Filed under: uncultured bacterium
Lineage: Bacteria
Description: partial 16S ribosomal RNA
Rfam family: Bacterial small subunit ribosomal RNA
Source: RNAcentral